Molecule: ribosomal RNA, 468 nt
Filed under: uncultured bacterium
Lineage: Bacteria
Description: bacterial SSU rRNA
Rfam family: Bacterial small subunit ribosomal RNA
Source: RNAcentral
GACCAGACUCCUACGGGAGGCAGCAGUGAGGAAUAUUGGCCAAUGGCCGAGAGGCUGAACCAGCCAAGUCGCGUGAGGGAAGACGGCCCUACGGGUUGUAAACCUCUUUUGUCGGGGAGCAAAGCGAACCACGUGUGGUUCAUUGAGAGUACCCGAAGAAAAAGCAUCGGCUAACUCCGUGCCAGCAGCCGCGGUAAUACGGAGGAUGCGAGCGUUAUCCGGAUUUAUUGGGUUUAAAGGGUGCGCAGGCGGAGGAUCAGGUCAGCGUUAAAAUGGAGAGGCUCAACCUCUCCGAGCCGUUGAAACUGGUUUUCUUGAGUGAGCGAGAAGUAUGCGGAAUGCGUGGUGUAGCGGUGAAAUGCAUAGAUAUCACGCAGAACUCCGAUUGCGAAGGCAGCAUACCGGCGCUCAACUGACGCUCAUGCACGAAAGUGUGGGUAUCGAACAGGAUUAGAUACCCUCGUAUAA